Molecule: ribosomal RNA, 248 nt
Filed under: uncultured bacterium
Lineage: Bacteria
Description: partial 16S ribosomal RNA
Rfam family: Bacterial small subunit ribosomal RNA
Source: RNAcentral
AUACGUAGGGUGCAAGCGUUGUCCGGAAUUAUUGGGCGUAAAGAGCUCGUAGGCGGACUUGUCGCGUCUGCUGUGAAAUCCCGGGGCUCAACUCCGGGUCUGCAGUGGGUACGGGCAGGCUAGAGUGCGGUAGGGGAGAUUGGAACUCCUGGUGUAGCGGUGGAAUGCGCAGAUAUCAGGAAGAACACCGAUGGCGAAGGCAGAUCUCUGGGCCGCUACUGACGCUGAGGAGCGAAAGCAUGGGGAGC